Molecule: ribosomal RNA, 292 nt
Filed under: uncultured bacterium
Lineage: Bacteria
Description: partial 16S ribosomal RNA
Rfam family: Bacterial small subunit ribosomal RNA
Source: RNAcentral
GUGCCAGCAGCCGCGGUAAUACGGAGGGUGCGAGCGUUGUCCGGAAUCACUGGGCGUAAAGGGCGCGUAGGCGGUCUGCUAAGCGUGCGGUGAAAGCCUGGGGCUCAACCCCAGGUCUGCCGUGCGAACUGGUGGACUAGAGCACUGUAGAGGCGAGUGGAAUUCCGGGUGUAGCGGUGGAAUGCGUAGAGAUCCGGAAGAACACCGGUGGCGAAGGCGGCUCGCUGGGCAGUAGCUGACGCUGAUGCGCGACAGCGUGGGGAGCAAACAGGAUUAGAUACCCUUGUAGUCC